GAUGAAGAACGCAGCGAAAUGCGAUAAGUAAUAUGAAUUGCAGAUUUUCGUGAAUCAUCGAAUCUUUGAACGCACAUUGCGCCCUUUGGUAUUCCAAAGGGCAUGCCUGUUUGAGCGUCAUUUCUCUCUCAAAUCUUCGGAUUUGGUUUUGAGUGAUACUCUUAGUCAGACUAGGCGUUUGCUUGAAAUGUAUUGGCAUGAGUGGUACUAGAUAGUGCUAAACUGUUUCAAUGUAUUAGGUUUAUCCAACUCGUUGACCAGUGAAGUAUUUGUUUAUUACACAGGCUCGGCCUUACAACAACAAACAAAGUUUGACCUCAAAUCAGGUAGGACUACCCGCUGAACUUAAGCAUAUCAAUAAGCGGAGGA
Molecule: unclassified non-coding RNA, 369 nt
Filed under: soil metagenome
Description: partial contains 5.8S ribosomal RNA, internal transcribed spacer 2, and large subunit ribosomal RNA
Rfam family: 5.8S ribosomal RNA (bases 1-120)
Source: RNAcentral